This 503-nucleotide ribosomal RNA is filed under the name uncultured bacterium. RNAcentral's name for it is "bacterial SSU rRNA". It matches the Rfam family "Bacterial small subunit ribosomal RNA", at positions 38 to 529 of the family's 1533-position model. The record is from RNAcentral.
GGCGGCGUGCUUAACACAUGCAAGUCGAGGGCAUUUGGGUAGCAAUACUCAAGUGACCGGCGAACGGGUGCGUAACACGUGAGCGACCUUGCCUCGUGGUGGGGGAUAGCCGGCCCAACGGCCGGGUAAUACCGCAUAUGGUAGUUUCUUCGCAUGGGGAGACUAGCAAAGCCUGACAGCAAUGUCAUGGCGCCACAGGGGGGGCUCGCGGCCUAUCAGCUAGUUGGGGGGGUAAUGGCCCACCAAGGCGACGACGGGUAGCUGGUCUGAGAGGAUGGCCAGCCACAUUGGGACUGAGAGACGGCCCAGACUCCUACGGGAGGCAGCAGUGGGGAAUCUUGCGCAAUGGCCGAAAGGCUGACGCAGCGACGCCGCGUGGGGGAGGAAGGCCUUCGGGUUGUAAACCCCUGUUGCCCGGGACGAAUGUGCUCUUUAGAGAGCAUUGACGGUACCGGGUGAGGAAGCACCGGCUAACUCCGUGCCAGCAGCCGCGGUAAUACGGA